CAGUAGCCACGGUAAUACGAAGGGUGCAAGCGUUACUCGGAAUUACUGGGCGUAAAGCGUGCGUAGGUGGUGGUUUAAGUCCGUUGUGAAAGCCCUGGGCUCAACCUGGGAAUUGCAGUGGAUACUGGGUCACUAGAGUGUGGUAGAGGAUAGUGGAAUUUCCGGUGUAGCAGUGAAAUGCGUAGAGAUCGGAAGGAACAUCUGUGGCGAAGGCGACUAUCUGGGCCAACACUGACACUGAGGCACGAAAGCGUGGGGAGCAAACAGGAUUAGAUACCCCUGUAGUCCCUGUCUCUUAUAC
This 301-nucleotide ribosomal RNA is filed under the name uncultured bacterium. RNAcentral describes it as "partial 16S ribosomal RNA". It matches the Rfam family "Bacterial small subunit ribosomal RNA", at positions 509 to 807 of the family's 1533-position model. The record is from RNAcentral.